RNAcentral lists this ribosomal RNA (389 nucleotides) under Pycnococcaceae sp. RNAcentral describes it as "partial small subunit ribosomal RNA". It matches the Rfam family "Eukaryotic small subunit ribosomal RNA", at positions 582 to 975 of the family's 1831-position model. Lineage: Eukaryota; Viridiplantae; Chlorophyta; Pseudoscourfieldiophyceae; Pseudoscourfieldiales; Pycnococcaceae. The record is from RNAcentral.
AUUCCAGCUCCAAUAGCGUAUAUUUAAGUUGUUGCGGUUAAAAAGCUCGUAGUUGGAUCUCGGGCGUGGAGGUUCGGUCCGCCGUUUCGGUGUGCACUGUCUUUCUGCGUCUUUCUGUCGGGGACGCGCUUCUGGCCUUAAUUGGCUGGGACUUGGAUUCGACGAGGUUACUUUGAAAAAAUUAGAGUGUUCAAAGCAAGCUAAAGCUCUGAAUACAUUAGCAUGGAAUAACGCGAGAGGACUCGGUCCUUAUUUUGUUGGUCUUCAAGGAUGGAGUAAUGAUUAAGAGGGACAGUUGGGGGCAUUCGUAUUUCAUUGCUAGAGGUGAAAUUCUUGGAUUUAUGAAAGACGAACUUCUGCGAAAGCAUUUGCCAAGGAUGUUUUCAUUA